AUAUAUUCUGACGGGAGCCGACUUGGAAACUGAAAUUGAUUUGAAACAUUAAUUUGCAUAUUGCAUCUCCCUGCUGCUCUAAGAGCAUUUAUAUCCCUGUGAGUUGAACACUUCAUGACUGAGAGCUGUCCUUCAUGACAACAGAACCCACAACAACCAUGACUUUUAUCACCAUCUUUAUCUGGAUAUUUGUCUUCUAUAUACAAGAAUCCAGAGGACAGUACACUCUGACUCAGACACCUGCAGUAAAAGCUGUUCACACUGGAGAGAUGGUCAACAUUGGCUGUAAACUCAGCAGUGGUAUAUAUGGUAAUUACCUGCACUGGUACCUACAGAGACCUGGAGAAGCUCCUAAACUCGUCAUUUAUAAGAUAAACAACAAGUUCACUGGGACUCCAUCUAGAUUCAGUGGCAGUGGAUCAGGGAGUGACUUCACUCUGACCAUCAGUGGAGUCCAGGCUGAAGAUGCAGGAGAUUACUACUGUCAGAGUUACCACAGUGGUAAUGUGUUCACACAGUGAUACAGAGUCGUACAAAAACCUCCCUCAGUCAGACUGCACAGUGAC
Non-coding RNA from Oncorhynchus keta (chum salmon), 566 nucleotides. Lineage: Eukaryota; Metazoa; Chordata; Actinopteri; Salmoniformes; Salmonidae. The record is from the annotation of a RefSeq genome assembly.